UCGAGAAUCUUCGGCAAUGGGCGCAAGCCUGACCGAGCGACGCCGCGUGGAGGAUGAAGGCCUUCGGGUUGUAAACUCCUGUCGAGGGGGAAGAAGGGUCGAAAGACCUUGACUGAUCCCUGGAGGAAGCACGGGCUAAGUUCGUGCCAGCAGCCGCGGUAAGACGAACCGUGCGAACGUUAUUCGGAAUCACUGGGCUUAAAGCGCGUGUAGGCGGGACGGCACGUCGGUCGCUGAAAGCCCCCGGCUCAACCGGGGAACGGGCGCCGAUACGACCGUCCUGGAGGGACGUAGGGGGACCUGGAACUUCCGGUGGAGCGGUGAAAUGCGUUGAGAUCGGAAGGAACGCCCGUGGCGAAAGCGAGGUCCUGGACGUUUUCUGACGCUGAGACGCGAAAGCCAGGGGAGCGAACG
RNAcentral lists this ribosomal RNA (414 nucleotides) under uncultured bacterium. RNAcentral's name for it is "bacterial SSU rRNA". It matches the Rfam family "Bacterial small subunit ribosomal RNA", at positions 355 to 774 of the family's 1533-position model. The record is from RNAcentral.